Molecule: ribosomal RNA, 253 nt
Filed under: uncultured bacterium
Lineage: Bacteria
Description: partial 16S ribosomal RNA
Rfam family: Bacterial small subunit ribosomal RNA
Source: RNAcentral
GACGUAGGGCGCGAGCGUUGUCCGGAUUUAUUGGGCGUAAAGAGCUCGUAGGCGGUCUGUCGCGUCGGCUGUGAAAACCCGGAGCUCAACUCCGGGCCUGCAGUCGAUACGGGCAAACUGGAGUGUUGCAGGGGAGACUGGAAUUCCUGGUGUAGCGGUGAAAUGCGCAGAUAUCAGGAGGAACACCGGUGGCGAAGGCGGGUCUUUGGGCAACAACUGACGCUGAGGAGCGAAAGCGUGGGGAGCGAACAGG